CAGUAGCCACGGGAAUACGAAGGGGGCUAGCGUUGCUCGGAAUCACUGGGCGUAAAGGGCGCGUAGGCGGCCGAUUAAGUCGGGGGUGAAAGCCUGUGGCUCAACCACAGAAUUGCCUUCAAUACUGGUUGGCUUGAGACCGGAAGAGGACAGCGGAACUGCGAGUGUAGAGGUGAAAUUCGUAGAUAUUCGCAAGAACACCAGUGGCGAAGGCGGCUGUCUGGUCCGGUUCUGACGCUGAGGCGCGAAAGCGUGGGGAGCAAACAGGAUUAGAUACCCGGGUAGUCCCUGUCUCUUAUAC
RNAcentral lists this ribosomal RNA (301 nucleotides) under uncultured bacterium. RNAcentral describes it as "partial 16S ribosomal RNA". It matches the Rfam family "Bacterial small subunit ribosomal RNA", at positions 509 to 807 of the family's 1533-position model. The record is from RNAcentral.